This 17-nucleotide transfer RNA is filed under the name Ecklonia radiata. RNAcentral's name for it is "partial tRNA-Ser". Lineage: Eukaryota; Phaeophyceae; Laminariales; Lessoniaceae. The record is from RNAcentral.
GGAGAUGUUGCUGAGCG